Molecule: ribosomal RNA, 468 nt
Filed under: uncultured bacterium
Lineage: Bacteria
Description: partial 16S ribosomal RNA
Rfam family: Bacterial small subunit ribosomal RNA
Source: RNAcentral
GACGAACGCUGGCGGCGUGCUUAACACAUGCAAGUCGAACGGAAAGGCCCUGCUUUUGUGGGGUUCUCGAGUGGCGAACGGGUGAGUAACACGUGAGUAACCUGCCCUUGACUUUGGGAUAACUUCAGGAAACGGGGGCUAAUACCGGAUAGGAGCUCCUGCUGCAUGGGGGUGGUUGGAAAGUUUCGGCGGUUGGGGAUGGACGCGCGGCUUAUCAGCUUGUUGGUGGGGUAGUGGCUUACCAAGGCUUUGACGGGUAGCCGGCCUGAGAGGGUGACCCGCCACAUUGGGACUGAGAUACGGACCAGAGUGCUACGGGAGGCAGCAGUGGGAAAUAUUGCACAAUGGGCGGAAGCCUGAUGCAGCAAUGCCGCGUGCGGGAUGCCGGCCUUCGGGUUGUAAAGCGCUUUCGCCUGUGACGAAGCGUGAGUGACGGUAAUGGGUAAAGAAGCACCGGCUAACUACGUG